UGAGGAAUAUUGCGCAAUGGGGGAAACCCUGACGCAGCAACGCCGCGUGAGUGAGGAAGGUUUUCGGACCGUAAAGCUCUGUCGAGUGGGAAGAAAUGCAUGGUGGCUAAUAUCCAUCAUGCUUGACGGUACCGCUAAAGGAAGCACCGGCUAACUCCGUGCCAGCAGCCGCGGUAAUACGGGGGGUGCUAGCGUUGUUCGGAAUCAUUGGGCGUAAAGAGCGUGUAGGCGGCUGGAUAAGUCAGAUGUGAAAGCCCUGGGCUUAACCCAGGAAGUGCAUUUGAAACUGUUCAGCUAGAGUAAGGGAGAGGAAAGUGGAAUUCCUGGUGUAGAGGUGAAAUUCGUAGAUAUCAGGAGGAACACCGGUGGCGAAGGCGACUUUCUGGCCCUAUACUGACGCUGAGACGCGAGAGCGUGGGUAGCAAACA
RNAcentral lists this ribosomal RNA (428 nucleotides) under uncultured prokaryote. RNAcentral's name for it is "bacterial SSU rRNA". It matches the Rfam family "Bacterial small subunit ribosomal RNA", at positions 355 to 774 of the family's 1533-position model. The record is from RNAcentral.